GAUGAAGAACGUAGCGAAAUGCGAUAAGUAAUGUGAAUUGCAGAAUUUAGUGAAUCAUCGAAUCUUUGAACGCACAUGGCGCCUUCCAGUAUCCUGGGAGGCAUGCCUGUCCGAGCGUCGUUUCAACCCUCGAGCCCCCGUGGCCCGGCGUUGGGGAUCUGCCACGGCAGGCCCCUAAAACCAGUGGCGGACCCGAAGGCCCUCUCCUUUGCGCAGUAGCAUCAGCCUCGCAUUGGGAUCCCUCGGCGUCCUGCCUCUAAACCCCCCACAAGUCCGCUCCGGCGGCACCAAGGUUGACCUCGGAUCAGGUAGGAAUACCCGCUGAACUUAAGCAUAUCAAUAAGCGGAGGA
RNAcentral lists this unclassified non-coding RNA (351 nucleotides) under soil metagenome. Its description in RNAcentral is "partial contains 5.8S ribosomal RNA, internal transcribed spacer 2, and large subunit ribosomal RNA". The stretch from base 1 to 120 matches the Rfam family "5.8S ribosomal RNA", at positions 35 to 154 of the family's 154-position model. The record is from RNAcentral.